Molecule: ribosomal RNA, 622 nt
Filed under: uncultured Bradyrhizobiaceae bacterium
Lineage: Bacteria; Pseudomonadati; Pseudomonadota; Alphaproteobacteria; Hyphomicrobiales; Nitrobacteraceae
Description: bacterial SSU rRNA
Rfam family: Bacterial small subunit ribosomal RNA
Source: RNAcentral
GCGGCGGACGGGUGAGUAACGCGUGGGAACGUGCCCUAUGGUGCGGAACAACUGAGGGAAACUUCAGCUAAUACCGCAUGAGCGCUACGGCGGAAAGAUUUAUCGCCAUAGGAGCGGCCCGCGUUGGAUUAGCUAGUUGGUGGGGUAAUGGCUCACCAAGGCUACGAUCCAUAGCUGGUCUGAGAGGAUGAUCAGCCACACUGGGACUGAGACACGGCCCAGACUCCUACGGGAGGCAGCAGUAAGGAAUCUUGCGCAAUGGGCGAAAGCCUGACGCAGCCAUGCCGCGUGAAUGAUGAAGGUCUUAGGAUUGUAAAAUUCUUUCACCGGGGACGAUAAUGACGGUACCCGGAGAAGAAGCUCCGGCUAACUUCGUGCCAGCAGCCGCGGUAAUACGAAGGGGGCUAGCGUUGCUCGGAAUUACUGGGCGUAAAGGGCGCGUAGGCGGACAGUUUAGUCUUAGGUGAAAGCCCAGGGCUCAACCUUGGAAUACCCUUUGAUACUGGCUGUCUUGAGUGCGGGAGAGGUGUGUGGAACUCCGAGUGUAGAGGUGAAAUUCGUAGAUAUUCGGAAGAACACCAGUGGCGAAGGCGACACACUGGNCCGUUACUGACGCUGAGGC